RNAcentral lists this ribosomal RNA (495 nucleotides) under uncultured bacterium. RNAcentral's name for it is "bacterial SSU rRNA". It matches the Rfam family "Bacterial small subunit ribosomal RNA", at positions 28 to 531 of the family's 1533-position model. The record is from RNAcentral.
GAUGAACGCUAGCGGCAGGCCUAAUACAUGCAAGUCAAGGGGAUAGCAAUAUCACCGGCGGACGGGUGCGUAACGCGUACACAACGUGCCCAAGGGCGGAGGAAAGCGGCGGGAAACUGCCGGUAAUACUCCAUGGUGUUGUUGAGUGGCAUCACUUAACAACUAAAGUACAAGCGCCCUUGGAUCGGUGUGCGUUCGAUUAGCUAGUUGGCGGGGUAACGGCCCACCAAGGCUUCGAUCGAUAGGGGGUGUGAGAGCAUGACCCCCCCACACGGGUACUGAGACACGGACCCGACUCCUACGGGAGGCAGCAGUAAGGAAUAUUGGACAAUGGGCGGAAGCCUGAUCCAGCCAUGCCGCGUGAAGGACGAAGGCGCUCAGCGUUGUAAACUUCUUUUGGAUGGGAACAAUAACUCCGACUUGUCGGAACUUGAGGGUACCAUCAGAAUAAGCACCGGCUAACUCCGUGCCAGCAGCCGCGGUAAAGUCUGUACU